RNAcentral lists this ribosomal RNA (274 nucleotides) under uncultured bacterium. RNAcentral describes it as "partial 16S ribosomal RNA". It matches the Rfam family "Bacterial small subunit ribosomal RNA", at positions 523 to 796 of the family's 1533-position model. The record is from RNAcentral.
AUACAGAGGGUGCAAGCGUUAAUCGGAAUUACUGGGCGUAAAGCGUGCGUAGGCAGUUUGUUAAGUUGGAUGUGAAAGCCCCGGGCUUAACCUGGGAGGGUCAUUCAAAACUGGCAGACUAGAGUGUGGUAGAGGGUAGUGGAAUUCCUAGUGUAGCGGUGAAAUGCGUAGAGAUUAGGAGGAACACCAGUGGCGAAGGCGACUGCCUGGACCAACACUGACGCUGAGGUGCGAAAGCGUGGGUAGUGAACAGGAUUAGAAACCCCGGUAGUCC